This 862-nucleotide long non-coding RNA is filed under the name Homo sapiens (human). RNAcentral describes it as "HSALNT0296554". Lineage: Eukaryota; Metazoa; Chordata; Mammalia; Primates; Hominidae. The record is from RNAcentral.
CCGGAAGUGCUUGGCCACAGUCGCAGCCCCGGCGCCCCGAAGCGGGAAAAAGGCUGGGUGCCGCCGUCCCCCAGCUGCGCAACCCUAGGAACUCUCGGCAAAAAAAAAGAGCAUGAGGAAUUUGAAGACUGAGAGAUGAGUUGUGUAGCACCAACAUUUUCUUUCUGCCUGACCUUCAUACCUGAUGAAUUAAAAGAAAAAAAGAAGCAGUAAACUGCCCCUUCUACCAAUGUCUAAGAUGAACGGGAAAAAUGCAUAUAAAUGGAAUUUUUCUUUUACGUGAUGAUACAGUGUUUUGGUGUCCCAAAGAAAUAAAAUCCAGCACUGUCCAAUUGAAGUAUAAUGCAAGCCACAUUUCUAGUAGCCAUAUUUUAAAAAGUAACAAUAAAGUGUUGAAAUUUACCUUAAUACUGCCUUUUUUAACCAAAUAGGUCCAAAAUAUUAUUAUUUUGACAGGCAUUAUGAGUUGAGUUGUGUCCCCCACAAAAUUCAUGUUGAAGCCCUAACCAGCAGUACCACAGAAUGUGACUAUAUUGAGAGAUGGGGUUUUAAAAGAAGUAAUUAAGUUAAAAUGGUUUCAUUAGGGUGGGCCCUAAUCCAAUAUAACUGAUGUUCUUAUAACAAGAGGCAAUAUGGACAUGGGCACACACAGAGGGAAGAUCAUGUGAUGACAUGAGUCAAGAAGAGAGGCCUCAGAAGAAACCAACCUGACAACACCUGGAUCUCAGACUUCUACCUUCUAGAAUUGUGAAAAAUACAUUUAUCUUGCUUAACCCACCUAGUCUAUGAUAAUUUGUUAUGGCAUCUCUAGCAAACUAAUACAAUAUGUAAUCAAUUAAUGAAAAUAAAAUGUAUUAAUAAG